RNAcentral lists this microRNA precursor (76 nucleotides) under Podarcis lilfordi (Lilford's wall lizard). Lineage: Eukaryota; Metazoa; Chordata; Lepidosauria; Squamata; Lacertidae. The record is from RNAcentral.
AUGUCUGUGUGUGUGUGUGUGUGUGUGUGUGUGUGUGUACACAUACACACACAUACAUACACACACACACACAUCU